AGUGAACGCUGGCGGUAGGCCUAACACAUGCAAGUCGAACGGCAGCACAGUAAGAGCUUGCUCUUACGGGUGGCGAGUGGCGGACGGGUGAGGAAUACAUCGGAAUCUACUUUUUCGUGGGGGAUAACGUAGGGAAACUUACGCUAAUACCGCAUACGACCUACGGGUGAAAGCAGGGGAUCUUCGGACCUUGCGCGAUUGAAUGAGCCGAUGUCGGAUUAGCUAGUUGGCGGGGGAAAGGCCCACCAAGGCGACGAUCCGUAGGUGGUCUGAGAGGAUGGACACCCCCACUGGGAGAGGACACCGGGCCAAACCCCCACGGGGAGGAAGAGGGGGGGAAAUUUGAGAAAGGGGCGAAAGCCUGACCCACCCAACCCGGGGGGGGGAAAAAGGCCUUGGGUUUGUAAAGCCUUUUUUUUGGGAAAAAAAAGCAGCAGGUUAAUACCCCGCUGUUCUGACGGUCCCCAAAGAAUAAGCACCGGCUAACUUCGG
This 492-nucleotide ribosomal RNA is filed under the name uncultured bacterium. Its description in RNAcentral is "partial 16S ribosomal RNA". It matches the Rfam family "Bacterial small subunit ribosomal RNA", at positions 29 to 506 of the family's 1533-position model. The record is from RNAcentral.